This 1346-nucleotide unclassified non-coding RNA is filed under the name Hevea brasiliensis (rubber tree). The record is from RNAcentral. Lineage: Eukaryota; Viridiplantae; Streptophyta; Magnoliopsida; Malpighiales; Euphorbiaceae.
UUUUUUUUUUUUUUUUGAGAAAUAGUGUACAAUUAUUAAAAAAUGGCUUAUGGAUCUUUCUUAUUAAAAUAUUCCUUUACUCUUAUACAUAAUCUACCGAGCCGUCACUUUCAUUUCGCUUACCCAAAAUUCAAGAAUCUAGCCAUUGAAGGAGAGAACCCACGACCUCCAAAACCGGAAACUAAAAAACCACAGUCAAUACCACCUGUAAAUACAGUGUCUUUGGUUGUUUUGUUAUCGACAUUUUAAGGCCCAGAAAUUUUCUUUGAAUCUGCACACAGCAGUAGCAGCCUUUAGAAGAAAUCAAGAAAAGUCACAAAAAUGGACGGAGGGAACAACAAAAACAGGCCGAAAGAUAAUGAUGGCAGUGGAUGAGAGCAAGGAGAGCAUGCACGCUCUCUCUUGGUGUCUUGCCAACCUUGUCUCUGCCACUUCUAAUAGCACGUUAGUCCUCCUCUACGUUAAGCCUCCACCUUCUAUCUACUCUCCCUUUGACAUUGCAGGUUUCCAGUUCUAUAGCUCACUUAUCAGAUUGUUGGUACAUUUAACUAAAAUUCAAAAAUAAUCAGUGAAAAGGUGAUAUUUGAUUGCAGGGUACAUAUUUUCUGGUGAUGUGAUUUCUGCCUUGGAAAAAUGUAGCAAGGAUUUGGUGAACUCUGUAAUGGAACGAGCAAAACUGUUUACAGGAACUUCAAUGUAAAUCACUCUUUCCUUUUUGCGUUUCUGCAUGCGUUUCUCCGUUACUUCUUUUUGUUUAGUCAUGGAUUUGGGGUCCUGAGCAGCUAAAAGUAGAAAGAGGAGUUGGGAGCGGAGAGGCAAAGGAUGUGUGAUAUGCAAUACAGUAGAGAAACUUGGAGCCGACACCCUUGUUAUGGGAAGCCAUGGUUAUGGUUUCUUGGAGAGGUAAUGACUAAUGACUAAUUUUUUUCCACUCGACGAUUGAAUAAGUUUAUAUACAUUGUCAUCAGGGUCUCAUUUCCUCGUUGAUUGUUGCAGAGCCAUCCUUGGAAGUGUGAGCGACCAUUGUGCCAAACAUGCAAAAUGUCCAGUGGUGAUCGUGAAGCAGCCAGAGGAAAAUUGACUUAAUUUCCUGCCACAAACUUUCCAAGGGAUGAUUCCAGCUUUCCCCCAGCAUCAUGCAUCUAUAGAUUCUACUCAUCUACUUGUAAAACUACUUGAAUCAACUAAAAAGUUUGUGGAUAAUUGGGCAUACAGCUACACGCAAUCUUUUUGAUUCUGCGCAUCCCAUUGAUAUAAAAAUUGUGUAUUGAUUUCUCAAAUUUCAAAUGAUUUGAGUACCCCGACUAUGGUGUUUGCUUUAUCAUCUAAUUGAUGUGUGUUCCCAG